This 330-nucleotide unclassified non-coding RNA is filed under the name Candolleomyces candolleanus. RNAcentral's name for it is "Psathyrella candolleana partial internal transcribed spacer region". The stretch from base 1 to 46 matches the Rfam family "Eukaryotic small subunit ribosomal RNA", at positions 1786 to 1831 of the family's 1831-position model. Lineage: Eukaryota; Fungi; Basidiomycota; Agaricomycetes; Agaricales; Psathyrellaceae. The record is from RNAcentral.
AAGUCGUAACAAGGUUUCCGUAGGUGAACCUGCGGAAGGAUCAUUAACGAAUAUCUAUGGCGUUGGUUGUAGCUGGCUCCUAGGAGCACUUGUGCACGCCCGUCAUUCAUAUCAUCUUUCCACCUGUGAACUAUGUGUAGGCCUGGAUACCCCUCGCUUUGGUGACAAAGUGGAUGCAAGGAUUGCUGCGUCGACAAGGCCCGGCUCUCUUUGAAUUUCCAGGUCCUAUGUCUUUUUACACACCCCAUUCGAAUGAUGUAGAAUGUAGUCAAUGGGCUCUUAUGCCUAUAAAACACUAUACAACUUUCAGCAACGGAUCUCUUGGCUCUC